GACUCUAUGAUAGUUAGGAGACCGGGUGCACCACGUAGCUUCAGGGAGGUGCACUGGUCCGAGGCAUAGUCAUGCUGCUGUGGAUGGAAUCACAAGAUGCUGCCAUGGAGCAACUUGCCUCCUUAUUGCCACCACGCCAACCUGACCGGAAUUAGGAGCAUGUCCCCAACACAUGACACAUGGUAUAUCAGUGAUCACUGAGCUAUGAACAUUUGGCAAAACCAACAAAAAUGCGCUUAGCCAAAAAGAGGUCAACAGUGCAAAAGCUCACUAAGCUAUGAGGAUUCUCCCACAGCACAGCCCUCGGCUUGCCAGCGGCCCCAUGGAGACAGCUGUUCUGAGACUGGGAGGGGAGCAGAAAUCCGCUCCCCUGGAGAAGGGGAGGAACGUGAAGAUAACACCAGAGGAGGAUACAAACAAUGGACACCCAGAGGACUCGCGCUCACAGAGGGAAAUGUCCUUAUACAAUAGAAAAAUGCACAAUGCACAUUCAAAUGCCCACCCAGGUUUGACAACACUAUGGACUGUCUCCUGCUCUUUAUUCUCCAGAGUCAAGAACAAAACAAAGGCCUAUUUUUUUAAGAUUAAGACCAGAGACAGUGGGAUUAUAGGAGAGAUUUGACGAAAUGUAUAAUGGAGGGACUCAGCAUGCAUAGGGGUCUGGAGGAAUGCCAAAGGCUCAGGUCACAAAAACUGCGCUGUUUCUUCUUCUGCUCCUUUCUAAGUCUUCAUAAAUAAGCACUGUCAGGCA
Gallus gallus (chicken) is the source of this 751-nucleotide long non-coding RNA. RefSeq lists it as uncharacterized. Lineage: Eukaryota; Metazoa; Chordata; Aves; Galliformes; Phasianidae. The transcript is spliced from 3 exons. The record is from RefSeq and is a predicted model, not a curated record.